This 1449-nucleotide ribosomal RNA is filed under the name uncultured bacterium. RNAcentral describes it as "bacterial SSU rRNA". It matches the Rfam family "Bacterial small subunit ribosomal RNA". The record is from RNAcentral.
AGAGUUUGAUCAUGGCUCAGGAUGAACGCUGGCGGCGUGCUUAACACAUGCAAGUCGAACGAACCUUCGGGUUAGUGGCGGACGGGUGAGUAACGCGUGGGAAUCUGCCCUCAGGAGGGGGAUAACGGCUGGAAACGGCCGCUAAUACCCCAUAUGCCGAGAGGUGAAAUGAAUUUCGCCUGAGGAUGAGCCCGCGUCUGAUUAGCUAGUUGGUGAGGUAAGAGCUCACCAAGGCAUCGAUCAGUAGCUGGUCUGAGAGGAUGAUCAGCCACACUGGGACUGAGACACGGCCCAGACUCCUACGGGAGGCAGCAGUGGGGAAUUUUCCGCAAUGGGCGAAAGCCUGACGGAGCAACGCCGCGUGAGGGAUGAAGGCCUCUGGGCUGUAAACCUCUUUUCUCAAGGAAGAAGAUCUGACGGUACUUGAGGAAUAAGCCACGGCUAAUUCCGUGCCAGCAGCCGCGGUAAUACGGGAGUGGCAAGCGUUAUCCGGAAUUAUUGGGCGUAAAGCGUCCGCAGGCGGCCCUUCAAGUCUGCUGUUAAAACGUGGAGCUUAACUCCAUCAUGGCAGUGGAAACUGUUGGGCUUGAGUGUGGUAGGGGCAGAGGGAAUUCCCGGUGUAGCGGUGAAAUGCGUAGAUAUCGGGAAGAACACCAGUGGCGAAGGCGCUCUGCUGGGCCAUAACUGACGCUCAUGGACGAAAGCCAGGGGAGCGAAAGGGAUUAGAUACCCCUGUAGUCCUGGCCGUAAACGAUGAACACUAGGUGUCGGGGGAAUCGACCCCCUCGGUGUCGUAGCCAACGCGUUAAGUGUUCCGCCUGGGGAGUACGCACGCAAGUGUGAAACUCAAAGGAAUUGACGGGGGCCCGCACAAGCGGUGGAGUAUGUGGUUUAAUUCGAUGCAACGCGAAGAACCUUACCAGGGUUUGACAUCCUGCGAAUCUCUUGGAAACGAGAGAGUGCCUCCGGGAACGCAGUGACAGGUGGUGCAUGGCUGUCGUCAGCUCGUGUCGUGAGAUGUUGGGUUAAGUCCCGCAACGAGCGCAACCCACGUCUUUAGUUGCCAGCAUUUAGUUGGGCACUCUAGAGAGACCGCCGGUGAUAAACCGGAGGAAGGUGUGGAUGACGUCAAGUCAUCAUGCCCCUUACAUCCUGGGCUACACACGUACUACAAUGCUACGGACAAAGAGCAGCAAGUUCGCGAGGACAAGCAAAUCUCAUAAACCGUGGCUCAGUUCAGAUCGUAGGCUGCAACUCGCCUACGUGAAGGAGGAAUCGCUAGUAAUCGCAGGUCAGCAUACUGCGGUGAAUACGUUCCCGGGCCUUGUACACACCGCCCGUCACACCAUGGAAGUUGGCCACGCCCGAAGCCGUUACUCCAACCCUUGUGGAGGAGGACGUCGAAGGUGGGGCUGAUGACUGGGGUGAAGUCAUAACAAGGUAACCGUA